This 1450-nucleotide ribosomal RNA is filed under the name uncultured bacterium. Its description in RNAcentral is "16S ribosomal RNA". It matches the Rfam family "Bacterial small subunit ribosomal RNA". The record is from RNAcentral.
CAUGCAAGUCGAGGGGCAGCGGGGAGGAAGCUUGCUUUCUCCGCCGGCGACCGGCGCACGGGUGAGUAACACGUAUGCAACCUGCCCCUGUCAGGGGGACAACCCGCCGAAAGGCGGGCUAAACCCGCGUACAUGCCACCGGGGCAUCCCGGAGGCAGGAAAGGCUUCGGCCGGACAGGGAUGGGCAUGCGGCGCAUUAGGCAGUAGGCGGGGUAACGGCCCACCUAACCGACGAUGCGUAGGGGUUCUGAGAGGAAGGUCCCCCACACUGGUACUGAGACACGGACCAGACUCCUACGGGAGGCAGCAGUGAGGAAUAUUGGUCAAUGGUCGGGAGACUGAACCAGCCAAGCCGCGUGAGGGAGGAAGGUACAGAGUAUCGUAAACCUCUUUUGUCGGGGAACAAAGACUGGGACGCGUCCCCGGAUGAGUGUACCUGAAGAAAAAGCAUCGGCUAACUCCGUGCCAGCAGCCGCGGUAAUACGGAGGAUGCGAGCGUUAUCCGGAUUUAUUGGGUUUAAAGGGUGCGCAGGCGGUCUGUUAAGUCAGCGGUCAAAGCCCGGGGCUCAACCCCGGCCCGCCGUUGAAACUGGCAGUCUCGAGUUGGAGAGAAGUAUGCGGAAUGCGCGGUGUAGCGGUGAAAUGCAUAGAUAUCGCGCAGAACUCCGAUUGCGAAGGCAGCAUGCCGGCUCCACACUGACGCUGAGGCACGAAAGCGUGGGUAUCGAACAGGAUUAGAUACCCUGGUAGUCCACGCAGUAAACGAUGAAUGCUGGCUGUCCGGGGGGACUGACCCCUGGGUGGCGAAGCGAAAGCGAUAAGCAUUCCACCUGGGGAGUACGCCGGCAACGGUGAAACUCAAAGGAAUUGACGGGGGCCCGCACAAGCGGAGGAACAUGUGGUUUAAUUCGAUGAUACGCGAGGAACCUUACCCGGGCUCAAACGGGGAGUGGCGCAGGCAGAGACGCCUGUUUCCCACGGGACACUCCCCGAGGUGCUGCAUGGUUGUCGUCAGCUCGUGCCGUGAGGUGUCGGCUUAAGUGCCAUAACGAGCGCAACCCCCGCGUGCAGUUGCUAACAGUCAACGCUGAGGACUCUGCACGGACUGCCGGCGCAAGCCGCGAGGAAGGCGGGGAUGACGUCAAAUCAGCACGGCCCUUACGUCCGGGGCGACACACGUGUUACAAUGGGUGGUACAGCGGGAAGCCAGGCGGCGACGCCGAGCGGAACCCGAAAUCCACUCUCAGUUCGGAUCGGAGUCUGCAACCCGACUCCGUGAAGCUGGAUUCGCUAGUAAUCGCGCAUCAGCCAUGGCGCGGUGAAUACGUUCCCGGGCCUUGUACACACCGCCCGUCAAGCCAUGGGAGCCGAGGGCGCUUGAAGUGCGUCGCCGCGAGGCGCGCCCUAGAGCGAAAUCGGUGACUGGGGCUAAGUCGUAACAAGGUAGCCG